Molecule: ribosomal RNA, 234 nt
Filed under: uncultured bacterium
Lineage: Bacteria
Description: partial 16S ribosomal RNA
Rfam family: Bacterial small subunit ribosomal RNA
Source: RNAcentral
GAUCAUGGCUCAGGACGAACGCUGGCGGCGCGCCUAACACAUGCAAGUCGAACGGGAGAUGAGGAGCUUGCUCUUCAAAUCGAGUGGCGAACGGGUGAGUAACGCGUGAGGAACCUGCCUCAAAGAGGGGGACAACAGUUGGAAACGACUGCUAAUACCGCAUAAGCCCACGGCUCGGCAUCGAGCAGGGGGAAAAGGAGCAAUCCGCUUUGAGAUGGCCUCGCGUCCGAUUAG